This 2427-nucleotide long non-coding RNA is filed under the name Salmo salar (Atlantic salmon). RNAcentral describes it as "lncRNA (ENSSSAG00000096308.1)". Lineage: Eukaryota; Metazoa; Chordata; Actinopteri; Salmoniformes; Salmonidae. The record is from RNAcentral.
UUUCGUUUUUCAAUUUUUUUUUUUUUUAUAUAUAUCAAGACAUACAGCAACCGAGAUGACAAACAUGUAAAAACAUUUUUGUUACAGAUAAUUAUUAAAAAAGUAUUUUUUUUUUUUUUUUUUACUUUUUUACUUUACUUGCUACGUGAAGGAAGGAACUAAUUUACAACUGAGCUCAAACCCUGUCUGCAUCAUUCAAUCAUUCUUCAUAACGAACAUUUCCCACCUCUAGGUAAAUAAAAUGCUCUGUUCAAAAAGACAUGCAUGCCAACUACAUGGAAAACAUUUGUCACAUUACACACACUUGCAUACCUAAACAUAUGUAAAGCAAAGAAUAAUAAUAAUAAUAAUAAUAAUAAACAACAACAAUACACCAAAAGUAAUGUGAAUGGUUAUCAAUAUCAACAGUUUGUCCGCAUUUUUGGGGGGCAGAAAAUAUCCCAGUUAAUUCUCAGAACUCUAAAAACAAGGUUUGGAAAAAUAACCUUCUAAAUGCCAUAAGAUGUCAACAAAUGCAUUCUAUGGACUAUCAACAGGUCGAGACGAGGAGGAGGAGGACAGGUGGAAAAUGAGCUUUUCUUCUGCAAAUCAAUUCCUUUAAUAAAACAUAAAAAAAAAAACUGAAAGUAAAAAAAAAAACUAAAAAAACAUCCACUCGCCUCUUUCUUUUAGUCAAAUCUUACGUUCUGUUCGUUCAUCUUCCGCAGCAGAGCAAGUACAAAAAAAAAAAAGUCCUUUAUUUAACGCUUCAUUAGACCACCAAUUCUGAAAUAAGUGUCAAAUUACCUGUCGAAAUAGGGCUGUGAAAAACCAUUGUACUUUUCACCCUGGCUCAGUCAGUCAGUCAGUCAGUCAGUCAGUCAGUCAGUCAGUCAGUCAGUGUCCACGCAUCCUCCAAUGAAAAGGAAACAGACUACUUUAUUCUCUAGUCUCCUAAACCUACAUCAAAAACACUUCCUGUGACGUGGGUACGAAUGAACACAGUGAUGUCACAAAGCAAGACGAAAGCCAGGACAAAUACAGAGUCUUAAAAUCGGUUGACGAUGACGAUGAUUCCCCUUCAAAAUGGAGAAACACUUUGUCCUCCCCAAGUGCUGUCUGUUUUCCCAUCGCUGUGUUUUUCUCCCCCCCCCCGGCCCCCGUGACAACGUUAUGAUGCUGUGUUCUUCUGUUCCAACCAUCCGGAUCCUUCUAAAUGUGACCAAUCGACCGACGAGCAAAAUGACAUAGGACAUACACAGCUAUUUGUGCUGUGUAUUGCUCGUGUUGAUAAACCCGGGAGUGGGGGAAAGCAUGGGAUAGAGACUAAAGAACUAGCUAGCAACUACAGUUAAAGCGGACUCAACAGUUUUUUUUUUCUCGUAUUUUUUUUGAUUUCACCGAAAAUCAUAAAAGAAAAAAAAAGCAAGAGAAAUGUAAUUAUGUGCUUUCAACCGUUUUAACAGAAGAUCAGUAAUAAACCAAUAAAGAAGUUGAAACACGGUGUCCUUGGCACCACAACCUCCAGUGAUGAGGGCAGGGUUCUGGGAUUAUUUUCAAAUGGGUUUUUCCCUUGCGGCCGUUUUGUGAAUGAUGGGUAGUUUGGGUCCAGGUUUGGGGGACUGAGGUUGAGGCUGGGGUGUUGUAUUCAGUAGGAAGGUGUUGUAUUCAGUUCAGUCAUAGUCAUCAUGGAAAACAAGAGGAGAAGAAGGAAACCCCUUUUACUGGUCUGAUCUGGCCUUCUUUGGACCAGUAGCUUUCCUAAAGGACAGAAACAAAAUGAUUCAACAGAUGAACAUAGACAGGGGGGGGCUGCAGGGUUAAGAGUCAUGAGUCGGGGUUAAGAGUCGGACUGAGAGUCGAGAGGAGAAUAAAGUUGAGAGUUUAAGGCUCACCCAUGUUGAAUGUUAUAUUGUUUGGUUUUUGUGUGCAUCUGAGUUGAUGUUGUAUCGAUUCCCGAGGUCAUUUCAUGUUUAUCUAAGAUCUUGAUCAGAAACUCGGGUAGAAAUACAGCCGGUAUGACGCAAAACGCAUCGUACCGGCUAGAUUACCCCCCCCCUGGAUAUCUGAAAAGUUAAUUGCUGACAUGCAAAGCGUUUUGGGACUGCAUCCACAGCGGACUAAUUAAACAAAUACCAAAAUAUCGUUUUUGAGUGGAGCGUAAAGUUAAGAAUUAUGACAGAGGGGUGACUGGGCUUGAUCACAACUGACUACUUUGUUCAAAUACUUUCGCAUUUCUCAAAUAAAUUCAUAGCAUUUUUUUUUUUUGAAUGUAUAGUUAAAUAACCUAUUAUUUCAUGUGGAUGAAGAGAGACAGGGAGAGAGAGAGAGACAGGGAGAGAGAGAGAGAGAGACAGGGAGAGAGAGAGAGACAGGGAGAGAGAGAGAGACAGGGAGAGAGAGAGAGACAGGGAGAGAGAGAGACAGGGAGAGAGAGAGAGAGAGAGA